ACUCCUACGGGAGGCAGCAGUGGGGAAUUUUGGACAAUGGGGGCAAGCCCUGAUCCAGCCAUGCCGCGUGCGGGAAGAAGGCCUUCGGGUUGUAAACCGCUUUUGUCAGGGAAGAAAAGCUCUGGGCUAAUACCUCGGAGUGAUGACGGUACCUGAAGAAUAAGCACCGGCUAACUACGUGCCAGCAGCCGCGGUAAUACGUAGGGUGCGAGCGUUAAUCGGAAUUACUGGGCGUAAAGCGUGCGCAGGCGGUUGUGCAAGACAGAUGUGAAAUCCCCGGCUUAACCUGGAACUGCAUUUGUGACUGCACGGCUAGAGUGUGGCAGAGGGGAUGGAAUUCCGCGUGGUAGCAGUGAAAUGCGAUAGAUAUGCGGA
RNAcentral lists this ribosomal RNA (375 nucleotides) under uncultured bacterium. RNAcentral describes it as "bacterial SSU rRNA". It matches the Rfam family "Bacterial small subunit ribosomal RNA", at positions 335 to 702 of the family's 1533-position model. The record is from RNAcentral.